CACCUCUUCCCAUUCCGAACAGAGAAGUUAAGCUCACCAGCGCAGAUGGUACUGGGUCAAAAGCCCGGGAGAGUAUGUCGUCGCCGAUC
This 89-nucleotide ribosomal RNA is filed under the name Flavobacteriales bacterium. The record is from RNAcentral. Lineage: Bacteria; Pseudomonadati; Bacteroidota; Flavobacteriia; Flavobacteriales.